RNAcentral lists this ribosomal RNA (546 nucleotides) under uncultured bacterium. RNAcentral's name for it is "partial 16S ribosomal RNA". It matches the Rfam family "Bacterial small subunit ribosomal RNA", at positions 355 to 895 of the family's 1533-position model. The record is from RNAcentral.
UGGGGAAUUUUGGACAAUGGGCGAAAGCCUGAUCCAGCAAUGCCGCGUGUGUGAAGAAGGCCUUCGGGUUGUAAAGCACUUUUGUCCGGAAAGAAAUCCUUGGCUCUAAUACAGUCGGGGGAUGACGGUACCGGAAGAAUAAGCACCGGCUAACUACGUGCCAGCAGCCGCGGUAAUACGUAGGGUGCAAGCGUUAAUCGGAAUUACUGGGCGUAAAGCGUGCGCAGGCGGUUUGCUAAGACCGAUGUGAAAUCCCCGGGCUCAACCUGGGAACUGCAUUGGUGACUGGCAGGCUAGAGUAUGGCAGAGGGGGGUAGAAUUCCACGUGUAGCAGUGAAAUGCGUAGAGAUGUGGAGGAAUACCGAUGGCGAAGGCAGCCCCCUGGGCCAAUACUGACGCUCAUGCACGAAAGCGUGGGGAGCAAACAGGAUUAGAUACCCUGGUAGUCCACGCCCUAAACGAUGUCAACUAGUUGUUGGGGAUUCAUUCCUUAGUAACGUAGCUAACGCGUGAAGUUGACCGCCUGGGGGAUACGGUCGCAAGAUU